RNAcentral lists this small RNA (76 nucleotides) under Xanthomonas vasicola pv. vasculorum NCPPB 1326. RNAcentral's name for it is "sX9". It matches the Rfam family "Xanthomonas sRNA sX9". Lineage: Bacteria; Pseudomonadati; Pseudomonadota; Gammaproteobacteria; Lysobacterales; Lysobacteraceae. The record is from RNAcentral.
AUGUACCAAUCGUACACUCCGGUUUCUGUGCGCCGUCCGCACCCACCUGACAACUGCUCGCUACGUUUUGUUAGCC